RNAcentral lists this unclassified non-coding RNA (220 nucleotides) under uncultured Tomentella. RNAcentral describes it as "sequence contains ITS2". Lineage: Eukaryota; Fungi; Basidiomycota; Agaricomycetes; Thelephorales; Thelephoraceae. The record is from RNAcentral.
ACACCUCAACUCUCAUGGCUCGCCGUGAUGAGCUUGGACUUUGGGGGUCUUGCUGGCCUGCGGUCAGCUCCUCUCAAAUGAAUCAGCUUUCCAGUGUUUGGCAGCAUCACAGGUGUGAUAACUAUCUACGCUUGUGGUUUUCUGCCAGGUAACCUUCAGCAAUGCAGGUUCGCUGGGGCUCAUAAAUGUCUCUCUCCUCGGUGAAGACAGCUUUGUGAAC